UACUGAUAAAACAAUGAUAGUCACGUGUUACAUCCUGAUUGGAUAUUAACUCUAUAAACGAUAAAAAUGUAUUGUUGUUGUCAUCGUCAAAUUAGAACAUGAUAUGUGACAAUCAGCAUUC
This is a non-coding RNA of Glycine soja, 121 nucleotides long. NCBI's taxonomy places the organism in Eukaryota, Viridiplantae, Streptophyta, Magnoliopsida, Fabales, Fabaceae. The record is from Rfam.